RNAcentral lists this ribosomal RNA (495 nucleotides) under uncultured bacterium. Its description in RNAcentral is "partial 16S ribosomal RNA". It matches the Rfam family "Bacterial small subunit ribosomal RNA", at positions 28 to 507 of the family's 1533-position model. The record is from RNAcentral.
GACGAACGCUGGCGGCGUGCCUAAUACAUGCAAGUAGAACGCUGAAGGAGGAGCUUGCUUCUCUGGAUGAGUUGCGAACGGGUGAGUAACGCGUAGGUAACCUGCCUGGUAGCGGGGGAUAACUAUUGGAAACGAUAGCUAAUACCGCAUAAUAGUAGAUGUUGCAUGACAUUUGCUUAAAAGGUGCAAUUGCAUCACUACCAGAUGGACCUGCGUUGUAUUAGCUAGUUGGUGGGGUAACGGCUCACCAAGGCGACGAUACAUAGCCGACCUGAGAGGGUGGUCGGCCACACUGGGAAUGAGACCCGGCCCAAGAGCCUUCGGGAGGCAGCAGUAGGGAAUCUUCGGCAAUGGACGGAAGUCUGACCGAGCAACGCCGCGUGAGUGAAGAAGGUUUUCGGAUCGGAAAGCUCUGUUGUAAGAGAAGAACGAGUGUGAGAGUGGAAAGUUCACACUGUGACGGUAUCUUACCAGAAAGGGACGGCUAACUACGUG